UUGGCGGCGCUGGGAGGCCGGAGCCCAGGGCUCGUGGCCAUGUUGUCAGGUGCUCACAGGUAGACAGCAGAGGAGAGGAACCAAGCUAUACUCAAUCUUAAAGCAGCAGGAUGGUCAGAAUUAAGUGAGAGAGAGAUGCCAUCUACAAAUCAUUCUUCUUCUUUAAUCAGGCAUUUGGCUUUAUGUCCCGAGUUGCCCUACAAGCAGAGAAGAUGAAUCAUCACCCGGAAUGGUUCAAUGUAUAAAACAAGGUCCAGAUAACUCUCACCUCACGUAACUGUGGUGGACUGAUCAAAAGAGAUGUGAAGCUGGCCACGUUUAUUGAAAAAGCAGCUUCUUCUGUG
RNAcentral lists this long non-coding RNA (344 nucleotides) under Homo sapiens (human). Its description in RNAcentral is "non-protein coding lnc-TRPV1-3:1". The record is from RNAcentral. Lineage: Eukaryota; Metazoa; Chordata; Mammalia; Primates; Hominidae.